RNAcentral lists this ribosomal RNA (449 nucleotides) under uncultured bacterium. Its description in RNAcentral is "partial 16S ribosomal RNA". It matches the Rfam family "Bacterial small subunit ribosomal RNA", at positions 29 to 523 of the family's 1533-position model. The record is from RNAcentral.
AACGAACGCUGGCGGCAGGCUUAACACAUGCAAGUCGAACGCAUCCUUCGGGGUGAGUGGCAGACGGGUGAGUAACGCGUGGGAACGUGCCCUUCAGUUCGGGAUGACCCAGGGAAACUUGGGCUAAUACCGGAUACGUGCGAGAGCAGAAAGAUUUAUCGCUGAAGGAUCGGCCCGCGUCUGAUUAGCUAGUUGGUGGGGUAAUGGCCCACCAAGGCGACGAUCAGUAGCUGGUCUGAGAGGAUGAUCAGCCACAUUGGGACUGAGACACGGCCCAAACUCCUACGGGAGGCAGCAGUGGGGAAUAUUGGACAAUGGGCGCAAGCCUGAUCCAGCCAUGCCGCGUGAGUGAUGAAGGCCUUAGGGUUGUAAAGCUCUUUCGUCCGGGACGAUAAUGACGGUACCGGAAGAAAAAGCCCCGGCUAACUUCGUGCCAGCCGCCGCGGUAA